RNAcentral lists this ribosomal RNA (253 nucleotides) under uncultured bacterium. RNAcentral describes it as "partial 16S ribosomal RNA". It matches the Rfam family "Bacterial small subunit ribosomal RNA", at positions 524 to 776 of the family's 1533-position model. The record is from RNAcentral.
UACGUAGGUGGCAAGCGUUAUCCGGAUUUAUUGGGCGUAAAGGGAACGCAGGCGGUCUUUUAAGUCUGAUGUGAAAGCCUUCGGCUUAACCGGAGCAGUGCAUUGGAAACUGGGAGACUUGAGUGCAGGAGAGGAGAGUGGAACUCCAUGUGUAGCGGUGAAAUGCGUAGAUAUAUGGAAGAACACCAGUGGCGAAAGCGGCUCUCUGGUCUGUAACUGACGCUGAGGUUCGAAAGCGUGGGUAGCAAACGGG